UACGGAGGGUGCAAGCGUUAUCCGGAUUCACUGGGUUUAAAGGGUGCGUAGGUGGGUUGGCAAGUCAGUGGUGAAAUCCCCGAGCUUAACUUGGGAACUGCCAUUGAUACUAUUAAUCUUGAAUACCGUGGAGGUUAGCGGAAUAUGUCAUGUAGCGGUGAAAUGCUUAGAUAUGACAUAGAACACCAAUGGCGAAGGCAGCGGGCUACACAAAUAUUGACACUGAUGCACGAAAGCGUGGGGAUCAAACAGG
RNAcentral lists this ribosomal RNA (253 nucleotides) under uncultured bacterium. RNAcentral describes it as "partial 16S ribosomal RNA". It matches the Rfam family "Bacterial small subunit ribosomal RNA", at positions 524 to 776 of the family's 1533-position model. The record is from RNAcentral.